AUUGAACGCUGGCGGCAUGCCUUACAUAUGCAAGUCGAACGGCAGCGGACCUUCGGGUGCCGGCGAGUGGCGAACGGGUGAGUAAUAUAUCGGAACGUACCUUUCAGUGGGGGAUAACGUAGCGAAAGUUACGCUAAUACCGCAUAUUCUGUGAGCAGGAAAGCAGGGGAUCGCAAGACCUUGCGCUGAUUGAGCGGCCGAUAUCAGAUUAGCUAGUUGGUGAGGUAAAGGCUCACCAAGGCGACGAUCUGUAGCGGGUCUGAGAGGAUGAUCCGCCACACUGGAACUGAGACACGGCCCAGACUCCUACGGGAGGCAGCAGUGGGGAAUCUUAGACAAUGGGGGAAACCCUGAUCUAGCCAUGCCGCGUGGACGAUGAAGGCCUUAGGGUUGUAAAGUCCUUUCAGCUGGGAAGAUAAUGACGGUACCAGCAGAAGAAGCCCCGGCUAACUCCGUGCCAGCAGCCGCGGUAAUGUACAGUGU
Molecule: ribosomal RNA, 483 nt
Filed under: uncultured bacterium
Lineage: Bacteria
Description: bacterial SSU rRNA
Rfam family: Bacterial small subunit ribosomal RNA
Source: RNAcentral